AAUGAACGCUGGCGGCAUGCCUAAUACAUGCAAGUCGAGCGAACGGACGAGAAGCUUCCUUCUCUGGUGUUAGCGGCGGGGGGGUGAGUUACACGUGAAUAACCUACCUAGAGGACUGGGGUAAGUUCGGGAAACCAGAGCUAAUGCCGGAUAAUAUUGGAAGCCGGAGGGUUACAAAGGGGAAUACGGUCUUGCUGUCACUUAAUGGUUGAUCCGCGCGGCAUUAGCUAGUUGGUAAGGUAAAGGCCUACCAAGGCAACGAUGCAUAGCUGACCUGAGAGGGCGACCGGCCACACUGGAACUGAGACACGGCCCAGACUCCUACGGGAGGCAGCAGUAGGGAAUCUUGCGCAAUGGGCGAAAGCCUGACGGAGCAACGCCGCGUGAGUGAUGAAGGUCUUCGGAUUGUAAAGCACUGUUAUUCGGGAAGAAAACCUGUGUACGUAAACGUGCACAUCUUGACGGUACCUAAACAGAAAGCACCGGCUAACUACGUG
RNAcentral lists this ribosomal RNA (497 nucleotides) under uncultured bacterium. RNAcentral describes it as "partial 16S ribosomal RNA". It matches the Rfam family "Bacterial small subunit ribosomal RNA", at positions 29 to 507 of the family's 1533-position model. The record is from RNAcentral.